This 490-nucleotide ribosomal RNA is filed under the name uncultured bacterium. Its description in RNAcentral is "bacterial SSU rRNA". It matches the Rfam family "Bacterial small subunit ribosomal RNA", at positions 29 to 515 of the family's 1533-position model. The record is from RNAcentral.
AUUGAACGCUGGCGGCAUGCCUUACACAUGCAAGUCGAACGGUAACGCGGGGCAACCUGGCGACGAGUGGCGAACGGGUGAGUAAUGCAUCGGAACGUGCCCAGUAGUGGGGGAUAGCCCGGCGAAAGCCGGAUUAAUACCGCAUACGACUUACGGGUGAAAGCGGGGGACCGUAAGGCCUCGCGCUGUUGGAGCGGCCGAUGUCAGAUUAGGUAGUUGGUGGGGUAAAGGCCUACCAAGCCUUCGAUCUGUAGCUGGUCUGAGAGGACGACCAGCCACACUGGGACUGAGACACGGCCCAGACUCCUACGGGAGGCAGCAGUGGGGAAUUUUGGACAAUGGGCGCAAGCCUGAUCCAGCCAUGCCGCGUGCGGGAAGAAGGCCUUCGGGUUGUAAACCGCUUUUGUCAGGGAAGAAACGCUCCGGGCUAAUACCCUGGGGUAAUGACGGUACCUGAAGAAUAAGCACCGGCUAACUACGUGCCAGCAGC